GCCUUGUGCACUGGCUACAAAUGAUCCCACUGUGUGGUCUGCCUCACACAGGUCUUGCUUAAACUCACUGCUAGGUGAGGGGCUGGACUCAAAUCCACUCUCAGGAAGCAGGCAGGAGUGUGAUUCCCCCUGGGACUGAGCGUGCCUGAAAUGCUGCACCAGGUUGCUGAACACACUGGCACAGGCUCUGAGAAGUGCUUCAGUGCACCCCAAAGUGAGCACACAUCCUCUCAGCCUCAGCACUGACAGAGGGCUCAUCCAUCGUCUGCACCGAGGGAAUCCACUCAGAGCUGUGCACGGCCCCUGCCUGCUGUGCUCCGUGUGUCAGUGCCUGUGUGGGCAGCAGCAGCAGCAGCUCCUCGGUGGAUGCCUGUGCCGCCACAAAUCCUUUCUGCCAGGAUCUCCAGAGGAAACAUGGGAAUGAUCAACCCAGCACACAGCAAGUCAAGUCUGGGAGAUCACCCAUCUAAGGCUGGUCAUGCUGACACUGUUCCUGGUAUCAGUACAGUAUUUAUUACAUCCCUCAGUAUCCUCUGGCAAUGGCCUUGGCCCUUGUUCAAGGCUGAGUGACACACAGUUACCGUGCAGUAAACCCACUGUGGCACUCACAUUCUCUGAACAGAGAGAUAAUUCUCUCUCCCAGGUUUUUUCCUGGAGAAGCACAGAGAAAAGAGGAGAAAACAAUUCUUAUCUUUACCUGCUGCUCCUGUUGUUUUUGCACAUGUGGAAUGUGUUAGGAAGAUUGCUUGCCCGAGGGGAUUUGGUAAUUGGAUUCUGGUGAUGGUUGUUUAUGUUAAUUAACCAAUCACUCGAAGCU
Molecule: long non-coding RNA, 817 nt
Organism: Zonotrichia leucophrys gambelii
Lineage: Eukaryota; Metazoa; Chordata; Aves; Passeriformes; Passerellidae
Exons: 3
Source: RefSeq, a predicted model, not a curated record